RNAcentral lists this unclassified non-coding RNA (380 nucleotides) under uncultured Sphingomonadaceae bacterium. Its description in RNAcentral is "contains 16S-23S intergenic spacer region". Lineage: Bacteria; Pseudomonadati; Pseudomonadota; Alphaproteobacteria; Sphingomonadales; Sphingomonadaceae. The record is from RNAcentral.
UCCGGCUUAUCACCGGCGGUUUCUUUAGAGUGCCCAACUAAAUGAUGGCAACUAAAGACGAGGGUUGCGCUCGUUGCGGGACUUAACCCAACAUCUCACGACACGAGCUGACGACAGCCAUGCAGCACCUGUGCUCCGGCCAGCCGAACUGAAGGAGCCCAUCUCUGGGCCCCACACCGGGCAUGUCAAACGCUGGUAAGGUUCUGCGCGUUGCGUCGAAUUAAACCACAUGCUCCACCGCUUGUGCAGGCCCCCGUCAAUUUCUUUGAGUUUUAAUCUUGCGACCGUACUCCCCAGGCGGAUAACUUAAUGCGUUAGCUGCGCCACCGAGACCCGAAGGGUCCCGACAGCUAGUUAUCAUCGUUUACGGCGUGGACUAC